GGAUGUGAGGGCGAUCUGGCUGUGACAUUUGUCACUCCAUUGAUCUCCAGGGUUGAUUCGGCUGCUCUGGUUGUCUAGGCGGGUGUCCCCUUCCUCCCUCAACACUCCAUGUGCGUCCCUGCCAAAACUGUGCACUGGGUCAGAGAGGAUGACCACCCGCAAAGAGGAGGACCAUUCCUCGGUCAAGGGUAUAGGAGAAGCUGCAUUCCACUGCUAGGACCUCCAGACAGGCUCUCAAGGUCCAUGUCUGUUCGUGUUUCUUAUUCUAUUUCACAAUCUCUCUUGUAUCCACAGACAUUUCUCAACAUAUCUGUAUUCUUCU
RNAcentral lists this small nuclear RNA (322 nucleotides) under Chinchilla lanigera (long-tailed chinchilla). RNAcentral describes it as "7SK RNA (ENSCLAG00000022114.1)". It matches the Rfam family "7SK RNA". From Rfam's summary of the family: 7SK was discovered as an abundant small nuclear RNA in the mid-70s but a possible function has only recently been suggested. Two independent studies have found that 7SK RNA binds the CDK9/cyclin T complex (known as elongation factor P-TEFb). The record is from Rfam by way of RNAcentral. Lineage: Eukaryota; Metazoa; Chordata; Mammalia; Rodentia; Chinchillidae.